Molecule: ribosomal RNA, 393 nt
Filed under: uncultured Oscillibacter sp.
Lineage: Bacteria; Bacillati; Bacillota; Clostridia; Eubacteriales; Oscillospiraceae
Description: bacterial SSU rRNA
Rfam family: Bacterial small subunit ribosomal RNA
Source: RNAcentral
UGGGGAAUAUUGGGCAAUGGGGCGCAAGCCUGACCCAGCAACGCCGCGUGAAGGAAGAAGGCUUUCGGGUUGUAAACUUCUUUUAAGAGGGAAGAGCAGAAGACUGUACCUCUAGAAUAAGCCACGGCUAACUACGUGCCAGCAGCCGCGGUAAUACGUAGGUGGCAAGCGUUGUCCGGAUUUACUGGGUGUAAAGGGCGUGCAGCCGGGAAUGCAAGUCAGAUGUGAAAUCCAUGGGCUUAACCCAUGAACUGCAUUUGAAACUGUAUUUCUUGAGUGUCGGAGAGGUAGACGGAAUUCCUAGUGUAGCGGUGAAAUGCGUAGAUAUUAGGAGGAACACCAGUGGCGAAGGCGGUCUACUGGACGAUAACUGACGCUGAGGCGCGAAAGCGU